This 957-nucleotide long non-coding RNA is filed under the name Astyanax mexicanus (Mexican tetra). Its description in RNAcentral is "lncRNA (ENSAMXG00005015973.1)". Lineage: Eukaryota; Metazoa; Chordata; Actinopteri; Characiformes; Acestrorhamphidae. The record is from RNAcentral.
GGAGUGGAGAGAGAGGUGGGGCGUGGUACAGAGCGAGGCGAGAGAGAGAUGUUGGUCCUGGGCCGGGUGGCGUAAGGAGGUGUGUGCGAGUGUGUAUCAGGGUACGGGUGCUUGCGCUGCUGAUUAAUGCUCGCUAUUGGAUGAGGAGAGGAGGCCUGGGGCAAAUUCACUGGUGGGGUUACUGGAGAAGUGGAGCUGGAAGAGCCGUGCUUUAGCUUCCAGGAGGCCAGGGUAGAGCAGGGCGCCGGAGCUGGUAUGAGGCAAGUGCUUUGGUGAUGAUGUGAGAGAGCUGUUUGUCUGCUAUGAAUGCUCUGUUUGUUUAACUGGGGCAUUGUUUCACUGCCUGAGCUGCACUAAUGUGUUCUCUGAGCAGCCGUGGAACACUGCUUAGAACUUUGUAGGUAUCAUGAAUGGAUUGUUGAGCUGUCUUGUUGAACUGGGGUGAAAAAAACUGUAAUUACAGAAGUAAUUAUAUUAAUAAUAGGUUUAUAACAUUUUCUGACAACAGAAGCAUUAGAUAAUUAACAAAAGAUUGAGGUGCCAAAAUUGUUCUUUAAAGCAAUGUCACAGGAGAACCAACAUUAAUAGAGCUGGUUCUUAAAAAAAAAAAAAAAAAAAAAACGAUUAUUGUUAAUAAGUGUGAGUUUAAGAUAAUUUAGGCUUGUUAACACUGUGACCUUUAGAUUAGAUCAGAUUCUACAUUAUAUUGUAAUCUAACAAAUACUAAUCUUACUCUAAGAAGUCCAUCUUUUCUGCAGAUGUUACCUCCAACCUUCACCCACCACGUAUGGUCCAUCUAAUCACUGCCUGGUUUAGGUCAGUGCAAUGUGGUGGAGUUUGGUAGAUCUCCAGGAGGAAGAUUUGUGACAACUUAUAAAUAGAUAAUACAUUCUAUGAGAGCUACACGUUUUUUCUUUGUUUGAACCAUUUGGCAACCUCUAUUUUAAGAAAUGUAGG